Molecule: ribosomal RNA, 301 nt
Filed under: uncultured bacterium
Lineage: Bacteria
Description: partial 16S ribosomal RNA
Rfam family: Bacterial small subunit ribosomal RNA
Source: RNAcentral
CAGUAGCCGCGGUAAUACGAAGGGGGCUAGCGCUGCUCGGAAUGACUGGGCGUAAAGGGCGCGUAGGCGGUUUGCACAGUCGGGUGUGAAAUUCCUGGGCUUAACCUGGGGGCUGCAUUCGAGACGUGUAGGCUUGAGUGGGGAAGAGGGUCGUGGAAUUCCCAGUGUAGAGGUGAAAUUCGUAGAUAUCGGAAGGAACACCUGUGGCGAAAGCGGCUCACUGGACCAUUUCUGACGCCGAUGCACGAAAGCUAGGGGAGCAAACAGGAUUAGAUACCCCAGUAGUCCCUGUCUCUUAUAC